Molecule: unclassified non-coding RNA, 431 nt
Filed under: plant metagenome
Description: partial contains 5.8S ribosomal RNA, internal transcribed spacer 2, and large subunit ribosomal RNA
Rfam family: 5.8S ribosomal RNA (bases 1-102)
Source: RNAcentral
AAACUGCGAUAAGUAGUGUGAAUUGCAUUUAGUGAAUCAUCGAAUCUUUGAACGCACCCUGCACUCACUGGUAUUCCGGUGAGUACGCCUGUUUCAGUAUCAUUGAAAACACACAAUCAAAACAUUUUCUUUGGUUUGAUUGGCUUUGGGUCUAUCAAAAAGUUUGGCUUGUUUCUUACAAGCCAAGCGGCCUGAAAUAUAUUGUCUGGCUAAUUGCAUCGUUGAUGAUCGCUAUUAGACUUUGGCUUUUUUAAAUGAACUGGAGGUUGAUUAACCAGUUUUAGCUGUAGUCAAAUGGUCAUUGUAAAAAAAAUCUCGAUCUUGGCUAGGUGUUUAUAGCCGAAAAUUUUUUUUUGGCUAUAACCGAAACCAAUAUAAUCACAUUUAGUUAUCGAUCUGAAAUCAGGUGGGACUACCCGCUGAACUUAAGC